GGAUUAGAUACCCUGGUAGUCUACACUGUAAAUUUUGAGUGCUGUAAUUUAAUCUUUUAGAUUUUUAAGCUAACGCCAUAAGCACUCCGCCUGAGGAGUACGAUCGCAAGAUUAGAACUCAAAUGAAUUGACGGGGACCCGCACAAGUAUUGGAGCAUGUGGUUUAAUUCGAAGAUACGCGCAGAACCUUACCAACACUUGACAUGUUCGUCGCGACUCUAAGAGAUUAGAGUUUUCGGUUCGGCCGGACGAAACACAGGUGCUGCAUGGCUGUCGUCAGCUCGUGCCG
This 289-nucleotide ribosomal RNA is filed under the name uncultured bacterium. RNAcentral describes it as "partial 16S ribosomal RNA". It matches the Rfam family "Bacterial small subunit ribosomal RNA", at positions 775 to 1067 of the family's 1533-position model. The record is from RNAcentral.